CAAUAGCGUAUAUUAAAGUUGUUGCAGUUAAAAAGCUCGUAGUUGAAUUUUUGCUUGCCGCCGAUGUCGGAACUUCCGUACGUUCGGCGGCGUGCAUCCUUGGGUGGAACCUGUGUGGCAUUAGGUUGUCGUGCAGGGGAUGCUCAUCGUUUACUGUGAAAAAAUUAGAGUGUUCAAAGCAGGCUUACGCCGUUGAAUAUAUUAGCAUGGAAUAAUAAGAUAGGACCUUGGUACUAUUUUGUUGGUUUGCGCACCGAGGUAAUGAUUAACAGGGACAGUUGGGGGUAUUCGUAUUCCAUUGUCAGAGGUGAAAUUCUUGGAUUUCUGGAAGACGAACUACUGCGAAAGCAUUUACCAAGGAUGUUUUCAUUAA
This 373-nucleotide ribosomal RNA is filed under the name uncultured eukaryote. RNAcentral's name for it is "partial 18S ribosomal RNA". It matches the Rfam family "Eukaryotic small subunit ribosomal RNA", at positions 592 to 976 of the family's 1831-position model. The record is from RNAcentral.